This 261-nucleotide ribosomal RNA is filed under the name uncultured archaeon. RNAcentral describes it as "partial 16S ribosomal RNA". It matches the Rfam family "Archaeal small subunit ribosomal RNA", at positions 748 to 1009 of the family's 1478-position model. The record is from RNAcentral.
UAGCCGUAAACGAUACUCGCUAGGUGUCGGCCACGGUGCGACCGUUGUCGGUGCCGUAGGGAAGCCGUGAAGCGAGCCACCUGGGAAGUACGGCCGCAAGGCUGAAACUUAAAGGAAUUGGCGGGGGAGCACCACAACGGGUGGAGCUUGCGGUUUAAUUGGACUCAACGCCGGAAAUCUUACCGGGACCGACAGCAACAUGAAGGCCAGGCUGAAGACUUUGCCGGAUUAGCUGAGAGGUGGUGCAUGGCGUAGUCGUGU